GAUGAACGCUGACAGAAUGCUUAACACAUGCAAGUCUACUUGAACUUCGGUUUGGGUGGCGGACGGGUGAGUAACGCGUAAAGAACUUGCCUCACAGAUAGGGACAACAUUUGGAAACGAAUGCUAAUACCUGAUAUUAUGAUUUUAGGGCAUCCUAGAAUUAUGAAAGCUAUAUGCACUGUGAGAGAGCUUUGCGUCCCAUUAGCUAGUUGGAGAGGUAACGGCUCACCAAGGCGAGGAUGGGUAGCCGGCCUGAGAGGGUGAUCGGCCACAAGGGGACUGAGACACGGCCCUUACUCCUACGGGAGGCAGCAGUGGGGAAUAUUGGACAAUGGACCAAGAGUCUGAUCCAGCAAUUCUGUGUGCACGAUGAAGUUUUUCGGAAUGUAAAGUGCUUUCAGUUGGGAAGAAAAAAAUGACGGUACCAACAGAAGAAGUGACGGCUAAAUACGUG
This 454-nucleotide ribosomal RNA is filed under the name uncultured bacterium. Its description in RNAcentral is "partial 16S ribosomal RNA". It matches the Rfam family "Bacterial small subunit ribosomal RNA", at positions 28 to 507 of the family's 1533-position model. The record is from RNAcentral.